CGGGGGCAGCCGCCAGCGGAAACGGUUAUUGGCCGCCAGUUCUCAGGUUCUGUGAGACCAGAGCCUCAGUCUCCCGUGAGCAGAGGGUGUGUGUGUGGCUGCCACUAUUCUGCAGACACGCUGGCUCCACCCCAGAGAGUUGCAGGGCCAGGAAAUCUGCAUUUAAACAGACCCUGGCUCUCACACUUCGGAAACUGCCCGAAGCACCUCUCAAAUAUGGGACAGGUGCUUAGGCCGAAAAUCAGGAAUCUCUUGAAUGAAUGCAUGAAGGUGGAGCCCUUUCCCUUAAUGCGCAGGUGAAAAGGGCACCUCGGUGGAUUCUACUAAAUUUAAUAGAAGACUUGAUGGAUUACAGAGGACUCCUGCUCCAGCUGUGGGGAACUCCAGCCCGCACUUUGCCUCCAGCCCGAUGGUGCAAGAUCCAGCUUCUCUUCAGCCUGGCAUCAAACGUCUUUUUGAUCAGCUUUUCAUCCAUUUUCUGAAAAUGUAGUGAUUGAGAGAUGUUCUGAAUCUUGCAGAAUUCUGUGUCGCACCCUGGCCACACAUCAAUGCAGGCCUGAACCUGACCCUGGGUGGACUCCCUGCUCUCUGCCAGCCCCUUUCUCACCCCUGGGUCCCCACGGCCCCUGGCUCUCUCCCCUCUGCUAGAAUCUCGCUGAGGGAUUGGUGGGGAGGGGGUGGUCACGCACUGGGUGGAGAUCUGGUGCCCCCUGGAGGCCGGACAGGAAGGGCCAGGGCGGACAAGGUCUUUGAGAACUCGGUGGCAUCCCGCUCCUGAUGGCCUGGGUCCCACCGCCCCUCCCCCAGCCUUCCUGACAGCAGAGGAGAUUGAUGGGGCGCUGCUCGAAUGUUCUUCAUCAGCGUCUUCAGUAAUAAGCUUCUCCAUUGGGUAACCGAUCCUAGUUUAGCAAAACCGUUUGUCAACCAUUUCCUCCCUUGAGCUUGAUAAGAACCCCGUGGGAGAGGAGAGAGGGGGGCCCCCCAGGAUCUGAAAAGCUGUGCCUCAGCCAAGUUCAUGAGUCACUGGCGAGGAGGCCUGUAGGUCAGCAAAGCCUAGGAGGUCAAGAGUGCCCACAUGGGGACCUACGGGCCUCAGGGCCGCAGGUUGCUGGGUUGGACCCUGGCUUGGAGCUCAGGAUAGAAACCCGGAAACCCCACAGGCAAAGAAGGAUGCAGAACAGAACAGGGCAGAACCAAGGACCCAGUGAGGGUGGCUGGCGUCAGAGCAAAUAUCAGAGUUCACAAGGUGAAAUAAUCCAAAAAUCUAUACAGAAAAAGCUAAUCAUUUUCUCCAAUCUCUCCCCCAAAGGUGUCUACUCCUGCAGGCUUACCUGUAACCUUUGUCACUCACUCUUCUGAUUCUGCAAACAUAUAAACCACGGAGCCACAGCCAAGAGAAUCUGGACUUGUUCGUUUUUCCUGAAAUAGGAUAUCUUAAAUAAUCCGUGGCUCAGCACUGCGCCCUUUUUUUUCUUUUCUUUUCUUUUUUUUUUUUUUUUUGAGACGGAGUCUCGCUCUGUUGCCCAGGCUGGAGUGCAAUGUCAUGAUCUUGGCUCACUGCAACCUCUGCCUCCUGGGUUCAAGCAACUCUCCUGCCUCAGCCUCCUGAGGAGCUGGGACUGCAGGUGCAAGACACCACGCCUGGCUAAUUUUUGUUAUUUUUAGUAGAGACAGUGUUUCACUAUGUUGGCCAGGCUGGUCUCGAACUCCUGACCUCAAAUGAUCUGCCUGCCUCGGCCUCCCAAAGUGCUGGGAUUACAGGCACAAGCCACAGCACCCAGCCUCACUGUGCCCUUUUCACUGGCAGGCAUUUUAUUGUCCCUACAGACCCAAGACGGGGUGGGGGAGACGUGCUUUGUGCUCACCUGGCUGGUUCAUGGGCAGGUGGCCUGGAGGACCCAGCCCUGGCAGCUGUGGGGUAGCUCCAGCCUGGGCCGGACAGCUUCUUUCAUCGCAGGCACCACUGCGGACAUUGCUGGGAGGAAGAGGAGGGAGAAGCGACGGGCUUCAUUAGGAACGGAAAUGCCAAGAUUAGUGAAAGAAUGAAAAGAGUCAAAACAGCCUAGAAAAGGCUUCAAUGAUCCUCAAACUGGAUGAUCGAAUCCCGAAUAAUUGGGAAUCAACAGUAAAGGCCAAAGCUUUCGAUGGAUUGGACGAGGCGCGUCCACCCUGGGGAGGGCCAUCAUUUUAUUCAGUCUACUGAUGCAAAUGCUUAUCUCUUCUGGAAACACCUUCACAGACAGACCCAGAAUAUAGUUGAACCAAAUACUGGGCACCUCAUGGCUCCAACAGGUUGACACAAAAAAUGAACCAUUGCAGAAAACGAAGAACAGUCACCAACUCCCACCCAUGCAGCUGGCUCAUUUGCUGGGCUGCCCUCCCCAGCAGGUGGCACAGGAAUCCCUGCCUUGGCAGGGAGGAGGCCUGGGGUGUGUGCAGGUACCCAUGGGAAGUUUCUUUGCCAUGGGGAAAGCCAGAGUCACCCCUUGCUUGAACACAAGAGUUGGAGGUUUCAGUGAGCUGAGAUUACGCUAUUGCACUCCAGCCUGGGCGGCAGAGUGAGACUCUGUCUCUAGAUAAAUAAAUUAAAUAAAUAAAUAAAUAUAAUUUAAUAUAAAUAACUAGAAAUUUUUCAAUACUUGCAUCUCUGUAGGUUACCUCUGGAAGUGCAGGGCUUUGUCUUUUUGGAUUAACUCAGAAAUUAGACCUUCAGAAAACAACAUCAGCUCUGAUUCUCUGCACCCUUGAUGCUGCCGGUGGCGACUGCGGCUUCCUGAUGGAAAUGUAGACCUGAACAUAAGUCGCAGAAAAAUGCAGACUUGAGUUGGAGCUAAGCUGACUCAGGUAUUUUGAGAUCUAUAAUCUGAGUGGGGAGCAGAGAGAUUCCAAGAUAUUUGCAUUCAGUGGCUUUUGCACACAGCAGAACCUGUGCUGAGGGCAUUUCUAGGGUCAUUACUCAUAAUCUGCAGUGUCUCUUUCCAGGGUUCCAGGCGUCUUACCCCAGAGGUGAUUUCCAGAUUUCGAGAAAAACCCAGGAUUUAGGGCUGGCACGGUGGCUCACGCCUGUAAUCCCAGCAUUUUGGGAGGCCGAGGCAGGUGGAUCACUUGAGGUCAGGAGUUUGAGACCAGCCUGGCCAACAUGAUGAAACCCUGUCUCUACUAAAAAUACAAAAAAAUUAGCCGGGUGUGGUGGCAUGCACCUGUAAUCCCAGCUACUCAGGAGGCUGAGGCAGGAGAAUCACUUGAACCUGGGAGGCAGAGGUUGCAGUGAGCCUAGAUCGUGCCAUUGCACUCCAGCCUGGGCAACAAGAGCAAAACUCCAUCUCAAAAAAACAAACAAACAAACAAACAAAACGCAAGAUUUAGAUCCCCUCACUGUAGCGCCCUCAUGGCCUGGUAACUUUAGCAAAGCCUCCCCCUCCUCCCCCUCCUCCUCCUCCUCCUCCUCCUCCCUCCUCCCUCUUCUAGGUACAGAGGAUGAGCAGUGGCUCCCCACACCAUCCCCUGAAGCAGAGGCCCCUCUUCCCUUCAUUCCCCAUUCUGUACAGAUGCUAUGGGAGCUUCAGGCUCCACACUCAGGUCCCCAGUCCCUGAAACAUAAAGCUGAAUAAGACAGAGUCCCUGGGCUGAAGGGGCCACUGUUGGCCAUGGAAGCAGAGUAAACAGAGUGGGGCCGACGUAAAGGUGAGCUGGGGUGCACUGGAGGCACAAAACGGGCAAGGAUGGAGACGUGGGUGACGAGGUAGGGCAGACAGGCAGAGCUCAGACUGGGUCCUAGGCAGGGAGAAGUCACCAUUGUAGAGCAAGGACGAUGUGGUCAGAUCUGGGCUUUAGAAAUCUAGGUGUCUAGCCUAGGCAAUAUAAUGAGACCUCGUCUCCACAAAAAACUUAAAAAAUUAGCCGAGUGUGAUGCCACAUGUCUGUAGCCGCAGCUACUCAGAAAGCUGAGGAUCCCAAGUGGAAGGAUAACUCUAGCUCGGGAGGUCGAGGCUGCAGUGAGCCAUGAUCGUGCCAUUGCACUCCAGCCUGGGCAACAGAGCGAGACCCUGUCUCAAGAAAAAAAAAAAAAAAGUAAAAGAAAAAGAAAGAAGAAAUACAGCUCUGGAGCUGCCUAGGACAGGGUUGGGGACUCUCCUGACUAGCUGCCAGCGAAUGUUUGCUUUCUGUGGCCAGGCCCUGCCUGGCCAGGGUGCACAGGGCUGAGCGAGGCAGAUGGAGCCCCUGCUCUCAGACUGCUUUUCCGAAUGCCAUCUUGACGCUGCUCAAGUUUGGAUUUUGGUUUUCAUGGAAGUCAACUAUGGUUCUGACAUGGCCACCUCUGUCUCAACUGAUGCACGGCCUAGGGAAUCCGGUGAUGCUUCAGCAGGUGGCAGGGCUCAGCUGCACCCGCCCGGGCCCCAGCGCCGCCUGCCACUCCUCCUCCUCCUCCCAGGCUUCGGCUGAGAGCAGGGCCUGGAGCCAGCCUGCUGGGUGGACUCCCAGCUCCACAGUUGGCUAGCUCUGGGGCCCUGGGGAGAUGUCCACCCUCUCUGUGCUUUAAUUUCUUCACCUGUGAGGUGGGGAUGGUAGCACCUCCCUCAUGGGGUGGCUAUGGCUGUGAAAUGAGGUAACGUCUCGGUGUUAGGCAGCUUCCAAAACGGCUCUCCAAGAUCCCCUGCCUCCUGGCCUUCAUAGCCUUGUGGAACCCCUGGCCCUGUGUGUGGGCUGGACUCACUGCCUGCUUCCACCCAAGAGAACAGGGCACAGCUGAUGGGGGUUACUUCUGAGACUAGGUGAUCAAGACUGGGGCUUGCUGGGUCCCUCUGUCUCUGACUCUUUCCUCUGCUCUCUCCUGCUCACUUGCUCACCCUAAUACUAUAUCAAGAGCUGCCCUAGAAAGAGGCCCCGUGGCAAAGAACCAAAGGCACCCAGCAACACGAGUGAGGGUGGAAGUGGCUCUUUCCCCAUUCCAGCCUCGCGGUGACCGCAGCCCUGGCUGACACCUUGCUUGCAGCCUGGUGAGAGACAGCAGCCCGAGGACCCUGCUAAGCUGCACCCAGGCUCCUGACCCAUGGAAACUGUGAGAUGAUAAACAUGUACUGCUUAAGCUGAGAUUCGGGCUAAUUUGUUACACAGUCAUAGACAUCGUUUUUUGUUGUUGUUGUUUUUUGAGAUGGAGUCUCACUCUGUCGCCCAGGCUGGAGUGCAGUGGCACAAUCUCAGCUCACUGCAACAUCCACCUCCCAGGUUCAAGCGAUUCUCGUGCCUCAGCCUCCCAAGUAGCUGGGAUUACAGGCAUCUGCCACCAUGCCCGGCUAAUUUUUUUGUAUCUUUAGGAGAGACAGGGUUUCACCAUGUUGGCCAGCUGGUCUCAAACUCCUGAGCUCAAGAGAUCUGCCCACCUUGGCCUCCCAAAGUGCUGGGAUUACAGGCAUGAGCCACUGUGCCCGGCCUGUUACACAGUCAUAGACAUCUAUAAAAUACUCAACACGGUGCCGGCGCAUGGCAAGCAUCAGUUACUGACCACGGUGACCCUUCUGUGUACACCAGGGGAACUCAAAAUACUCAGGAAAUCUAAGCAUAUAAGCCUAGUCACCAGGCUGUCGACAUGACCCUUAACAAUGAACCUGUGUCUUUUGCCACCUCAUGAUGUCAUAGAAGAAGAGCAGCAUCAAUGUUAAGAGUCUGGAGGAGGGACUAGAUGCUGUGGCUCACACCUGUAAUCCCAGCACUUUGGGAGGCCGAGGCAGGUGGAUCACCUGAGGUCAGGAGUUCGAGACCAGCCUGGCCAACAUGGUGAAACUUUGUGUUUACUAAAAAAUACAAAAAAUUAGCCAGGCAUAGUGGCAUGCACCUGUAAUCCCAGCUACUCUGGAGGCUGAGGCAGGAGAAUCUCUUGAACCUAAAAUCUAAAAAAUAAGACCACGCCAAGGAAAAAAAUCAGUAACAGUAUAGAGGGGAUGGAAGCAGACCUCUUUAAUACACCUUGUUCUUCAGUUUUGACUUUGCCAUCAUGUAAAUGCUUUAUUUAGUUCUAAAUCAAAUUUAAAUUGAAAAAAAAAAAUUCCCAGGCCAGGGCGGCGGCUCAUGCCUGCGAUCCCAGCACUUUGGGAGGCUGAGGUGGGCAGGUCAACUAAGCCCAAGAAUUUGAGACCAGCCUGGGCAAUAUGACAAAACCCCAUCUCUACAAAAAAUACAAAAUUAGCCAGAUGUGGUGGUGCAGGUGCUUGGAGGCUGCUUGGGAGGCUGAGGUGGGAGGAUGACCUGGGCCUGAGAGGUGGAGUUUGCAGUGAGUCGAGAUUGCACCACUGCACUCCAGCCUGGGUGACAGAGUGAGGCCCUGUCUCAAAAAAGAAAAAAAAAAAAGUAUUUCCUAGUUGAUUUUUGUUCAACUUCAAUUAAUCAUAAUCUACCUUCUUUUUUUUGUUUUUGAGACAAGAGUCUCGCUCUGUUGCCCAGGAUGGAGUGCAAUGGUGUGAACUGCAACCUCUGUCUCCUGGGUUCAAGCAAUUCACCUGCCUCAGCCUCUUGAGUAGUUGGGAUUACAGGUGUCCACCACCACACCUGGCUAAAUUUUGUACUUUUAGUAGAGAUGGAGUUUCACCAUGUUGGUCAGGCUGGUCUCAAACUCCUGACCUCAUGAUCCACCCACUUCGGGCUCCCAAAAUGCUGGGAUUACAGGCGUGAGCCACCGUGCCCUGCCAAUCACAAUCUACCUUUAAGUGAUAAUAUGCUACCUUUUUUUUUUUUUUUUUAGACAGUCUCGCUCUGUCCCUCAGGCUGGAGUGCAGUGGCGCAAUCUUGGCUCACUGCAAGCUCUGCCUCCCGGGUUCACGCCAUUCUCCUGUCUCAGUCUCCCAAGUAGCUGGGACUACAGGUGCCUGCCACCAUGCCCGGCUAAUUUUUUGUAUUUUUAGUAGAGACAGGGUUUCACCGUGUUCGCCAGGAUGGUCUCUAUCUCCUGACCUUGUGAUCCGCCUGCCUCAGCCUCCCAAAGUGCUGGAAUUACAGGCAUGAGCCACCAUGCCCAGCCAAUAUACUACUUAAUAUAAAGCAUAAGAACAUUGGCCAGGUGCGGUGGCUUAUGCCUGUAAUCCCAGCACUUUGGGAGGCUGAGGAGGGUAGAUUGCUUGAGCCCACAAGUUUGAGACCAGUGACACCCCAUCUCUACAAAAAAAUGUAAAAAAUUAGCUGGGUAUGGUAGUACAUGCCUGUAGUCUCAGCUACUUGGGAUCGCUUGAGCCCAGGAAGUCAAGGCUGCAGUGAGCCAUGAUUGUGCCACUGCACUCCAACCUGGGCAACAGAGCAAGACCCUAUCCCCACUCCCCACCCUCCCAAAAAAAAGAACCUAAAAGUAGUGUAUUUCUGAUUCUCCACAUACACACUCCAUCUAUUUAAGAAACUACAAUAAAUACAAUGAGUUCAGGCUGGAUGCGGUGGCUCAUGACUGUAAUCCCAGCACCUUGGGAGGCAGAGGUUGGUGGAUCGCUCCACUGUACUCCAGCCUGGGUGACAGAGCGAGACUCUGUCUCAAAAUAAAUAAAUGAAUAAUAAAAUAAAAAGUAAAUGGUCUAGGCCUGGCCAACAUGGUGAAACCCUAUCUCUACAAAAAAUACAAUAUUUAGCCGGGUGUGGUGGUGUGCACCUGUAGUCCCAGCUACUGCGGAGGCUGAGGCAGGAGGAUCACUUGAGCCCAGGAAGUGAAGGCUGCAGUGAGCCACAAUUGCGCACCACUACACUCCAGCCUGGGUGACAGAGUGAGACCCUUUCUAAAAAAAAAAAAAAAAGGAAAGAAAAGAAAAUGUCCAAAUUUAAAGGCAGAGAUUGUCAGAUUGGAUUAAAAAAAGAUUCAGUAUCCUAUUUAUAAGAAACACACUUCAAAUAUAAAGACACAAAUAGGUUAAAAGUAGAAGGAUGGAAAAAGACAUACCUACCAUGCUAUCACAAAUCCAAAAAAAGCUAGCGUGGCUUAUCAAUAUCAGACCAAGUAGAUUGUAUAGCAGAAGACAUUACCAGGGAUAAAGAGGUUAAUUCAAUAAUGAUUAAGGGGUCAGUUAUUCCAGAGGACAUAACAAUUCUAAACGUUUAUGUACCUAAUAACAGAGCUUCAAAACACUUGAAGCAAAAACUUAUAGAACAGCAAAGAGAAAUGGAAAAGUUGACAAUCAUAGUUGAAGAUGUCAAUACCCUGCUUUCAAUAAUUGAUAGAAUUGAUAGAAUAGCUGGGUAUAGCCGUGUAUCACCUGUAGUCCCAGCUACUCAGGAGGCUGUGGCAGGAGAAGCACUUUAGCCCAGGACUUGAGUCUAGUCUGGACAACAUAGUGAGAUCCCACCUCUGAAUAAAUACAUAGAAAUUGAUAGAAUGAAUAGACAGAAAACCAGCAAAUAUAUAGAAGAUUUGAACAACAUUAUCAACCAACUCGAUCCAAUGGACAUUUAUAAAACACUUUACCCAACAACAGCAGAAUACACAUUCCUCUCAAGUUCACACAGAAUAUUUACCAACAUAGACAAUAUUCUGAGACAUUAAACAAGUCUCAGUACAUUUAAAGGGACUCAAGUCAUUCAAAGUAUGCUCUCUUACAAUGGAAUUAAAUUAGAAAUUGGUAACAGAAAGAGCUCUGAAAAUGCCCAAAUAACUUGAAAACGAAAUAACACACUUCUAAAUAAUCCACGGGUCAAAAAAGAAGUCAAAAGAGAAGUCAGAAAGUAUUUUGAACUGACUGAAAAGGAAAACCCAACAUAUCAAGUUGUGUGGUAUUAUUAGCUGUACGUUUCUUUGUAGAUGCUAUUUAUCAGGUUGAAGAAGUUCUCUAUUCUCAGUUUGCUGGGAAUUUUUUUUUUUGUUUUUUGUUUUUUGAAACUGAUUCUGGCUCUGUCACUCAGGCUGGAGUGCAGUGGCGUGAUCUCGGCUCACUGCAAGCUCUGCCUCCUGGGUUCACACCAUUCUCCUGCCUCAGCCUCCCGAAUAGCUGGGACUACAGGCGCCCGCCACCACGCCCGGCUAAUUUUUUGUAUUUUUAGUAGAGACGGGGUUUCACUGUGUUAGCCAGGAUUGUCUCGAUUUCCUGACCUCGUGAUCUGCCCGCCUCGGCCUCCCAAAGUGCUGGGAUUACAGGCAUGAGCCACCACGCCCGGCCAUUUUUUUUUUUUUUAAUUAUGAAUGGGUGUUGGAUUUUUGUCAAAAGCUUUUCUUGCAUCAAUUGAUAUGAUCCUAUGAUUUUCUUCUUUAUCCUGUUGGUAUGCUAAAUUGCAUUAAUUUUUUUGUGUUUUUGUUUUAUGAGACUGAGUCUCACUCUGUAGUCCAAGCUGAAGUGCAGUGGCAUGCAGUGGUCAGCUCACUGCGACCUCCGCCUCCGGGGCUCGGGCUUAAGCUAUUCUCGUGCCUCAGCCUCCCGAGAAGCUGGGACUACAGGCGCAUGUCACAUGCCACCAUGCCCAGCUAAUUGUUUGUAUUUUAGUAGAGAUGGGGUUUCACCAUGUUGCCCAGAGUGGUCUCGAACUCCUGAUCUCAGGCCAUCCACCUGCCUCGGCCUCCCAAAAUGCUGAGAUUACAGGUGUGAGCCACUGUGCCCUGCCUAAUUAAUUUUUGAAUAUUGAGUCAGCUUUGCACACUGCCAAUGCAAUCAAGAUGUAGUUAUUCUUAGGCUGGGCAUGGUGGCUCACACCUGUAAUCCCAGGACUUUGGGAGGCCGAGGAAGGUGGAUCACUGGAGGUCAGGAGUUCAAAACCAGCCUGGCCAACAUGGUGAAACCCCGUCUCUACUAAAAAUACAAAAAACUAAUCAGGCAUUGUGGCGUGUGUCUGCUACUCAGGAGGCUGAGGCAGAAGAAUGGCUUGAACCCGGGAGGCGGGAGGUUGCAGUGAGCCAAGAUCACGCCACUGCACUCCAGCCUGGGCAACAGAGCAAGACUCUGUCUCAAAAAAAAAAAAGUAGUAGUUAUUCUUUCUCUACCCCCUCUCCCUUCCCACUGACUGAGGCAGGCAAUGAUGAUGAAGCCUUAGGCAGAGGAGAUGGAAGGUGAUGUGCUCCGGAAUCACUGUAUGGGGGAAAACCCCCUCAUCAACCACAAACACUCACACUGGUCAGUCAUGUGAGUGAGAAACACAUGUCUUUUGGGUUAAGACGUUAAUAUUUGGGGAUUUAUAUUAGGGGAUUUAUUUAUUACAACAGCUAGCGUUUCCUUGCUGUUAACCUCAAAAAUCAUCAGUGUAUCUCGAAAGACACAUUCUUCUUCUUCUUCUCUUUUUAAUUGAGAUGGAGUCUCGCUCUGUUGCCCAAGCUGGAGUGCAGUGAUGCAAUCUUGGCUCACUGCAACCUCUGCUGGCCAGGUUCAAGCAAUUCUCCUGCCUCAGCGUCCAGAGUAGCUGGUAUUACAGGUGCCCAUCACCACGCCCAGCUAAUUUUUGUAUUUUUAGUAGAGACAGAGGUUCGCCAUGUUGGCCAGGCUGGUCUCGAACUCCUGACCUCAGGUGAUCCACCUGCCUUGGCCUCCCAAAGUGCUGGGAUGACAGGUUGGAGCCUCUGCGCCCAGCCCAAUUCUUGAGUAUUAAAUGCUUAACUGCCUUGUUAUACCUCCUGUACUAAGAACACUAAAAAUGUAGAGCAUUUUAGACAAGAAACCUAAUUAAAAAAAAAAAAAAAAAACCCAGUUCAAAAGCAUUUGGGAGUGAUUCAGAAAACCACAGCCCCGGAGCUAUAGUCUCUGAAGAUGCGGGGCCUGGACCUCUCUGCAUUCCCCCAUUGGUGUCUGCUGAAGACUAGCGUCUGCAGAAAUCCCAGUCUGUACACAGGCUGAGACUAUUCCUUUUCCCUACAUCCUGGUGAUGGGCACACACACACCUCAAGGGAGGCGUCGAUGCUCUCAGGCACUGAACUUGUUCCCGUGUCUUUAUGUUUCAUGAUCGUAUAUGAGAGAGGGAGCGUGGCCUGGAACUGUACACAAAAUGUGACCGAAAACAGCCUCUCGCUGUUUCCAAUUAAACAACCUGCUCGAGCCUUUGGUUUCUCUCCAUCACUUCCUGUCUCAAUCUCACUGACGUCUUCUUUUUUAGCAAAAUGCAUUUGUAUUUCAAGCAGAAGAUCAAUGGUUACAUUUUAAAACGCUAAAUAUCUUUUCUGCCAGGCCGAAUGGGGGUGUUUCUCCCAUCCUUCUCUGCACGUCUUCUCAUCUUAAAGCGAUGGAAUUGAGUUCUGUGAAAUCCGAUCUGGUGUUUAAGCUCUGAUUUAUAACAAAUUACCUAUGUGGCACUCAAGAAAGAACUUGUAUGUCAGAUAACACUGGAGUUUGAUUUCACCACCCUGCCCCCAAACCCGUUUAUUCAUUCAUGGCGGGGAGAGAUCCAGAGGGCCGGAGCAAUUUCAUCAACCCUGGAAUUCGCGCAUGGAGCCUCCUCUCCCCAGACCAUCCUGCUACCAUGAAUAGACAGCACGUGGCCGCCUUUUAUGAUAAGGUCAGAGGAAAGGAGUGCAUAGAGAGAGGCCGUUUGGAGAGUCGGAGCUGUAAGUUUCAGGUAUAAAACCUGAAUAGUACCAGUCCUCUUGCCUGGGGCCAGAUCAGACAGGAGGGAGGAGGUGGAAGGCAACUGUUCCACCUCCCGAGGUGAUUCCUUUGGACGCCUGAAUCCUUUGGAUUCCCUGGCUCCCAGCAGCGGACUCUGCCCUCAGCCAUCUUUAUCACUCCUGAUUAGGGCUGCAGACGCCUCCCUCCCCACCCUGCCUUGCCAGGCUUUGUGGCUCCCCGGGCUCGUUUUCUGAUAGAGCUGUCAGUUUUUACUACUGAUAGGAGAAAUCAUUUUCUUUCUUAGCUGAAUGUUAAUUGGCUCCCCUCCCCCAUUCACUUAGUAUAUCCCGUCCCCUAUUUUUUUUUUUUACCCCAAGGAAAAGGUACCUUAGUAGAGACACAUUUCGGAAAGACAAAGAAGGUGUUUCUUGCUAAAUUGCUAAUUGGUAACUGAAAUCAGAGGUUAAGAAAAAGCUAAAGAGGAGAGCGAGGAAGGAAUUAGGACCACAUGUUUCUGUAG
Molecule: long non-coding RNA, 12003 nt
Filed under: Homo sapiens (human)
Lineage: Eukaryota; Metazoa; Chordata; Mammalia; Primates; Hominidae
Description: HSALNT0406246
Source: RNAcentral